This is a non-coding RNA of Arvicanthis niloticus (Nile rat), 603 nucleotides long. NCBI's taxonomy places the organism in Eukaryota, Metazoa, Chordata, Mammalia, Rodentia, Muridae. The record is from RefSeq and is a predicted model, not a curated record.
GUGUUCGUACUCAGUGGGCAGCCAUGGCUGGCGGGUGCUUUAUCGCAGAUGCUGCAGCCCUCACGUUUUCUGCAUCUUCCGUCAUCAGGGCACAGGCGCCGUGCAGGGAUAUUUCGAGUUCAGGUAGGGAUGGUGGAGCUCGGAGGCAGGACGCGAGAGGUCAGCCUGCGGUGGAGCAGGGACGUUUUCCCCGGGGGAGACACGUGCCACCGGGUGGACAUCGAGGCCAGGUGAGUGGCCCCACAGCGUGGAAGGGAUGAUCGAGCUCUUCUGGAAGAUGUCCUGGAAACCUUAGAUGCUGGGGCUAGAAGAGACUUGAUGGCACUUCAGAGGUUGUCGGGCUGUCUCGCCCGACAGAUGCAGAAAUGGAAACGAAGGAAUGAGACUCCAGCUGUGUUGUGGCUUCCGUUCUAAAAAGGAAUCUGCAGUUUCUGGUUCUUGGCCUAAGCUUGAUUCUAUGUGUUUGUCCUCUCAGACUCCUUCAGGUUUUGAAUAAGGUAGCCAGCUAGAGGAAAAUACACCUGCUAAUUAGAAUACUUCUGGAGGCAAGAAGAUGAGGCCAGCCUGGGCUGCAAAAGACCCAGUCUCAAAAAACCAAUAAAU